Long non-coding RNA from Vicia villosa (hairy vetch), 6861 nucleotides. RefSeq lists it as uncharacterized. Lineage: Eukaryota; Viridiplantae; Streptophyta; Magnoliopsida; Fabales; Fabaceae. The transcript has 3 exons. The record is from RefSeq and is a predicted model, not a curated record.
UAAAAUUUGUCCUAUUCGCGAUUCAAGGCUCCAACAUGUAUAAUUCUUAAAUUAGAGUAUAUUUUUAAACAAUUUUUAUGGGGGAUGUGAGGAGGAGAGAAAAAUCAACUGGGUUAGUUGGGAUAAGGUUUGUAAACCUAUAGUAGAUGGUGGGUUGGGAAUUCGAAAUUUGAGAGCUUUCAAUGAAGCCUUAUUAGGCAAGUGGGCAUGGAAAGUAAAAAAAAUAAAAGAGGGGUGUGUGGUUUAAAGUUUUGGUUAAUAUAUAUGGUGAGUGUAAUGAUGGAGUUGAUUCAGGGGGGAGUGAGAGUUCGGUUUGGUGGAGGGAUAUUAAUCAAUUCGAUAUAGCCAACCUGAGUCAGCAAGGGGAAUAUUCUGUUAGCGAGGUGUAUGAAGGUUUAGUGUCGUCUUCUCAUAGUAAUUUGAAUAAUCCUUUGGAUUAUGUGUGGAAUAAGACGAUUCCUUCAAAAGUGGCAGGGCGGGUUUGGAGAAUGCUUCAAGAUAAAAUUCCAACAGUAAACAAUUUAAUAAGAAGAAGGGUGAUUGACCAUAGGCUGGGCAGUUGUGUCAGAGAGUGAAGGGGGGGGGGAAUCGGUAUCUCAUUUGUUUUUCGAGUGCACUGUGUUUGCAGGGUUGUGGAGUCUCAUUCUUAGGUGGCUGGGAGUGAAGACAACUUUGCAAUCCAACAGGUGGCAUCAUAUGGUUCAAUUCGAAGGAUUACUCUAUCGAGACAAAACGACAUCGUCUAAGCUGGAAGCUAUUUGGUUCGCUUGCGUAUGGACUAUUUGAAAGGCUAGAAAUGAAAAGAUGUUCCAAGACAGGGGAAUAAAUCUAGAAAACAUGGCGGAAGAGGUGAAGUUGUUAUCAUGGAAAUGUCUUAAUAUCAAGUUUGGCUCGAUAUUAAAUAACACUUCGCAAUGGUUCACGAAUCCUAUAGCUUGUUUGGGUUUUAUUGAGGAUUGAUUGUUGUAGGCGAGUUCAGUCGGAUCUUGUUUAUUGUUCUGUUGUGGUUCCUUUUACUGUUGUUUCGGAGGCUCAUAUUCCUGUCUGUGAUUUAUCGUAUUUGCUGAGUUGCUUGGUUCCAUUUUGAGCAUUCUAUUCUAGUCUGGAAGCAAGGAUGGUUCGGUGGGCAUCAUUAAGAAUGUCGUUUUUUUCUAUAAAGGAUGUUUGCUGUUUGGUUGUAUUCUUUGACCGAUUUCGAAUCUGAAUCGGGUGAGCAACUGUGGUGAGGAAUUCUUUUUCAUUGAGAGUAUGUGUGUUUGUUGUAUUUUUUGGUGCUAGUUCUGUUAUAGUGGUUGGUGUUGGGCUGCUAGUGGAGUAUUUAACUAGUUUGUUUGUAUCAGUGGGGUGUAAUUCUGUAAUUAGUUUUCUGGUGCAUAUUGUGCCUAUUAUGAUACUGUAAUGUACUCCCUCGGCCUUAUUUAUAAGCAAAGAUUCAUUUUUUAGAUUUAUUGAGUAAUGAAUGUAUCUGAUCUAUUAUAUAUACUAAAUACAUUCAUUACUCAAUGAACCUAAAAAAUGAAUCUUUGUUUAUAAAUAAGGCCAGAGAGUACUUGUUUACUUUUCUCCUAGCAUGUCUCAUGCUGGAGUCUUUUACUUAAUAUAUCAUCUUUUAGUUUUUUUUUUAAAAAAAAAAAUUAGCCUUUUAAUGGACUUGUUUAAGUUUUGGGCCUAAGGGAAAUUGGUCCAGUUUUUUUUCCUUAGCACAGACCAAGAAAGUGAGAACAAAGAGUUCCCAUACAAUUUUCCUUCAGAAUAAAACGCUCUCUCUUUUAUCUGUGUUCCAAACCCUAGCCGCCGCUACCUCUCUCCUCUUUUCCAAAACAAAUAACUAACACCAUCUUCCUUCAUAAUAAACCGUUUAGAUUCUCCGUUCGAAGAACAUAACCGUCUUCCUUCGCAUUCUCCAUCUUACUUCGUAUGUCUUUGAUGUAUUUAGAAGUACUGUUUCUGUGUUAAUAUGUUUUGAAUCAUUGCUGGUUUUGAUGUAAACAUUCAAAAUCAUAGCUUUUAUUUUCUCCCUUUUAAAAUCCAAUUAUAGAUCGAGUUUAUCGCUGGAACGGUAAAGUUUACUUUAUCCAUGGGGAAAUUUCUUUUCCAAAAGUUUCUGGAUUUCUAUAAAUCACUAAUCUUUACUUCAACAAUUCACUUUUGUUAUUUGUGUCCAAAAAAAAUUCACUUUUGCAAAACCUAUGGAUUUGUAUAUACUGAAAACAUUCUUUAUUCUUUUUUAAAUUUGGAAACAUAAAUAGCAUAAUUUUAAUUUGAUUAGAGUUGUAAAUAUGGAAAUUAAAGAAGAAAAUUAAAUAUGGUUAUUUUAUUGGGAAUUAAUAUUUUCCGGUCGGUUAUAAAUGAUUGAAUUAAGGCUAAAGUUCUAUAUAUGACUUUGAAUAGAAUAAUUUCUAUAAAUGAUUGAAAUUAAAUGAUGACAUUUUAAUUUCUUACACAAGAUUCAAAUUUCAAGAUUAGUAUGACUUGUGAAUAGAACAAUUCUUCCUAAAUAAAAGUGUUAAAGUAUACUAAGUAGUCCAAACUAGAUUUUUCAAAUCACCAUGGAAAGGCUUCCAAAAAUGUUGUGCUGGUGGAGCCAUAGUUCAUCCACCUCCAGAAUUCCCAACUCUAAAUUCCUCCGAGCAAGUCUAUAUCUCAUCCCUCCCUCUUCUCAAGAUGCUCAAACACGGUAGGGUUGGUGCUCCCAUGAUGUGGUUAUGGGUUUGAUGCUUGGAGAAUUCGUGGAUGAGUACACUGUCUGUAUGGUAUGUGUUUGCAAUGCCACAUAGUGGAAUUGGUAAGUGUUUUUUUUAGACUAAUAUGCUCAAACAAACGGGAUGGUAUUUUGUUUUGUUUUUUUAAAGUUUAUUUAUUAUGUGUUCUUUGUGUAUGGUUAAAUUCGAGAAUUUGUUUGUGUUUGUUAUUGAUUGUGUUUUGCAAACCAGAGAUGGUUGUUGGAUGGUAUCAUUCAUAUUCUGGACUUAGAUGUUGGUUGUUUGGUGUUGACAUCAAUACACAACAGGUUCUACUACAGUCCUUUUGUUUUAUGUCUUGUUUAUGUAUAUGUUUGGAUCGGUGAUAUGUGAUGAAUGAAAUAGAGUGGAGUGAUCGGUAAUCAUAUUCCAUUGUUUAGAGUUUUUGAAUGAUAGAUGAAGCGAGAUGGAGCAUGAUAGAUUCCUCUCCAUCCAAUCCUUCAAUUUUCAUUCUGUUCAAUUUGGGUUGUAUUCAAUUGAAUGAACUAUAUAGUUAUGUUUCAUUCCAUUAAAUAAUAAAAAAUACCCAAAUAAUAGAAUGGUAUAUCUGAUCCAUUCUGCCCCGUACUAAAAUCUGUUAAGUUCCAUUUUUCUUCUCUGUUCUACUCCAUCAAUCCGAACAUAGUUUAAAUUUCCCAAUACAAUUGCUAUAAUUCUUAAUAUAAAUUGUGUUUAUUAAUUUAGCAUGCAUUGAUUUACUCUUGUAGAACAAAUACACUUAUGUGAUUUCGCUAAUAUUUCAUCGUUUUAAUCAAUAGUCUAAUGACUCAUCAGUCAUCACUUCGACUGAGUUAAUGAUUGUAUUUUUUGAUAAACAUAAACUAAUAUUAAUUAAUGGAUCUUGAAAGAUAGAACAAAUCAAUCGUCUAGUAGCCAUGUGAUUUGAGAAUAUUAUUUUUAACAUUUCCAUUUAUUCUCUAGUUUGCAAUUUAUUUGGUCUACAUGUGCGUUUUACACGCUUCAAAAAGGACACAUGCCAUCUCCCCUUCUUUUUUAUAUGAUAGAUAAUUGUCUUAGUUUGUGCUUCCAAAGAUGAAUUGAUAUAAUUAUAGGUAGCACUUUGAACUAUUUAAUUAUUAUUAUCUAAAAUUUGCAAAAUUAAAGAUGAGGUUAGUUAGUGGGGGCUAAAAUAAAUUCUCUUUACCUCCCCCUCUCAAUAGCUACCCAACCCGUUAGCUACUCAUCAUGUUCACUAGUUAAAGAAAACGUUCAUAUUUUUUUUCCCCUUUGUCUGAUUUCCAUAACCUCAUCUUGUUGAUAUAUUUACAUAACCAUUGCAACUGUUUCACUAGAGUUUUUAAUUUUUGUUUUCUUCACCUUAUUUUCUGUUAAGGCAAAUACAUUUGAUUGAUUACUAUGCUAAUGCCCACUGACUUCCAUUAUUCUUCUCUGUCGAAAAAAUUCAUAACUAUUUAGAGAUCGCUAUCGUAUCCAGACAACUAUAGCACUUUUAGUGCAACUAGGUAAUUAUAAAACUUUUAUUUGUCAUUUUGUUUUGUUUUUUAGUUUUACUAUUUUUUUUAGAUGUUUGUUGAUUUUAAGAGUUUGAUGGCAACUUCAUGGCUGUUUUUUAGUAUAUGACCAAUUUAAAUUUUUGGAACUAUGAGUGGUUAAAACACGGUACAUGUUCCGGAGAGCAUGAAGAUCAUAGAGUAAGGUAUUAUGAAGAUCAUAGAGUAAGGUAUUAGGAUUGUUCCAUAUACCUUACCUUAUGUUUUCCAGAGUAAGGUAUUAGGAUUGUUCCAUAUACCUUACCUUAUGUUUUCCAAAGCAAGUACCGUGUUUUAGUCAUUGGUAGUUCCACAAAUUACGAUUGGUCAUACGCCAUUGAUAGUUCCAGCCAUUCAAGCCUCUAACUCAGUAGAAAUCUAAAAAAUAGUAAAAUAAAAUAAAAUGAUAACUAAAAGUGUUAUCAUUACUUGGUUGUGGUAGACUUCUAAAUAGCUCUUAAUCUAUAUUUUGUUUCCCACAAAAUUUCUGACAUAGAUGAAAAAAAGGUAAAAUACCAAGCCAAGGUGAUCAUUGUAGUUAAUACUUGUUAGGGUUAUGUUAGGUUCCUUUUAUUUGGCUCAGGAGAGUUUACCAACUAAUGUGGUUAUGUCUACAUAGGUUUUUGCAAAUUUCUCUAACUUGUGUUUGCUUAAUUUCAUUGUUAAAUUUAGAAUUUUGAAACUAUUUAUUUUUAAUUUAUAGUUUUGUUGCAUAGAAUUUCUAAUACCUUUGUGUCAUGUUCAAAUGGAAAACUAGAGCACAAACUUGCAAGUGAUGGCUGUAAAAGUUAUGAAGCACGAAUACUUUAAAAACUAGGUCAUAUAUAGUAUCCGAUAUGCUCCGAAACUGCGUUGAUACGUAUCGAAGGAGUAUAUGGUUUUUUAUUUUAAUGACUAUUUUUUUAAUGGUCAUUUUUAAUACCCUAUUUAAUUCCUUUCAGAAACCUGCCAUUUUUCAAGAAUAGUUUAAUUUCUCAUAAUUUAUUACUACCAAUUAUUAAUAUUUUAAAAUUAAUUCAUAUUAAAUAUAAUUUUAUUUUUAUGUAUCAUUACUUUUAUUUUUUACAAGGAAGUUCUAGUUUCAAUAUUAUAACUUGCAACCUCUUUUUCUACAACGAUUAUUUUUUUCUUCUUCAUAAUGCCUUCAUAUUUUUUCAUUAAAAACAUUUUUUAUCAUAAUAUAGGUAUCACUUUAAUAUUUUCCGACUAUAUAGUAACCUAUUAAAAAUUUCAUUGAGCUUGGUUUUAUUAGACUAUAUAUAGUCGGAAAAGGAAAGGUAGUCAGCGUAAGAAUCUUCUAAUUGUAAGGUACACAAUUUUGUUUAAUUUGGGGAGGGGUGGGGGCAAUUGAACUUGGUUCUUUAUGUUGAAAGGAAAGGUAGUCAGCACAAGAAUCUUCCAAUUAUAAGGUACACAAUUUUGUUUAUUUUGGGGAGGAGUGGGGGCAAUUGAACUUGGUUCUUUAUGUUGAGAUGUGUUAUGAAAGUAAUUGGGAAGAUUUGAUGAGUGGAUUUGACGUUAGAUGUUAGAUAAAAUAUUGUGGGUUAUCUUAGUUGGCAAGAGAUAUAGUUAGAAAAAUGGACGGUGAAAUAGGCCUACCAAUACAAAAAUAUCAUUAGUCAGUGGGGAAGAAAGGAGUUAUACCCUACUCAUAAAACUAGUUUGGUUGCAUAGAAUUUGAAUAUCUAUCAUAUAAGAAAAGUCUACCAUUUCUUCAUCUCUUAGCUAUGCCACAUCAGCCUCUCUUCUCACAAAAUUCCACAUCAUUCCUUUUCCAUUGUAGGAUUGAACUUUAAACCUCCAACCUCUCAUGAUCUCGCAGUUACAAAUUAUUUACUUUCUCUGGCCAUUCACAUUCACAACUGCUUACAGCACUAAUGACCUCAUAUAAUGCUUCUGCCUUCCAAGCCCUCCACCUUCCACGUUCCAAAACACUUUUAUCAUUACUAUAUAUAACCAUCAUACUUUCACAGUAUCUAUCAUGUUCAUCAAACCUAAUCGUGGAGAAUUUUGGUUUAUACUAUUUUUGCAAUUACAGCCAUUCCCACGACUAUUCAUGUGGAAAGUUUUGGUUUAUACUAUUUUUGCAAUUACAGCCAUUCCCACGACUAUUCAUGGACAAACUGGAAUUUAACAUUUUUUUCUUUCUUUUCUGGAUAGAAAAUAUCUUUCAUGUUAUUUGCAGGUUGAAUUUGUAGUGUAUCAUUCUGAAGUACUAAUUGGCGUUUCAUGUUAUUUGUAGGUUGAAUUUGUAAUGUAUCAUUCUGAAGUACCAAUUGGCGUCACUCCAUAGUAUAUGACAGUAGAAAACAUCGUCUAUAGGAUUCGUUUGAAAUAAAUAUUCUUCUUUGACUGUCCCGAAAGUUUGAGCUGUAGAAGUAGAAAUAUUCUUCUUUGACUGUCCCGAAAGUUUGAGCUGUAGAAGUAGAAAUCAAGUUGGCUGGUGUCAAUAUACAAUGGAGAAUCUGCUUGAAAUUACUGGGUUAUGCUUGCGCAAGUUUUGUCAAAAAUGUAGAUAUUAUACUAUGUAAAUAACAUGAUAUUUUAUAUUAAUUCAUAGAAUGAACUUUAAUUUUUUUAUAUUUUAAGUGCAAAUAUUAAAAAAUAAAUCUUAAUUGAUUGAUUUUAUG